UGGGGAAUAUUGCGCAAUGGGGGGAACCCUGACGCAGCCAUGCCGCGUGAAUGAAGAAGGCCUUCGGGUUGUAAAGUUCUUUCGGUAUUGAGGAAGGUUGAUGUGUUAAUAGUACAUCAAAUUGACGUUAAAUACAGAAGAAGCACCGGCUAACCCCGUGCCAGCAGCCGCGGUAAUACGGAGGGUGCGAGCGUUAAUCGGAAUAACUGGGCGUAAAGGGCACGCAGGCGGUUAUUUAAGUGAGGUGUGAAAGCCCUGGGCUUAACCUAGGAAUUGCAUUUCAGACUGGGUAACUAGAGUACUUUAGGGAGGGGUAGAAUUCCACGUGUAGCGGUGAAAUGCGUAGAGAUGUGGAGGAAUACCGAAGGCGAAGGCAGCCCCUUGGGAAUGUACUGACGCUCAUGUGCGAAAGCGUGGGGAGCAAACAGGAUUAGAUACCCUGGUAGUCCACGCUGUAAACGCUGUCGAUUUGGGGGUUGGGGUUUAACUCUGGCGCCCGUAGCUAACGUGAUAAAUCGACCGCCUGGGGAGUACGGCCGCAAGGUUA
RNAcentral lists this ribosomal RNA (547 nucleotides) under uncultured bacterium. Its description in RNAcentral is "bacterial SSU rRNA". It matches the Rfam family "Bacterial small subunit ribosomal RNA", at positions 355 to 896 of the family's 1533-position model. The record is from RNAcentral.